AAAACAAGUAUGGGGGAGAUCCCUCAACAUGCCAAACACACUCCGACUACACCACUCCACGAUUCAGGUACACACUCUGCACACUUUACUUUACACAUAUUUUGGAUUAUGCAGAUUACUGUUUCCGACAUGAUAAAUUAAAAAGAUUAAAAUAUUUCUAAUCAUGAUUAAUCUCAAUCUGUGAUAUUUCCUAAAAACUUGCAAUUAUUAUAAAAUCAUUUUAAAACCCUGUGUUACUUAAGUCAAAUGGAAUAUGUGAUGAUAGAGUAUAAGUUUCUUAUUCUUGAUAUCAUUGUUGCUUGGAGAAUUUAUUUCAAAAUAUUCAAAUUUCUAGCUACCAUCCUCAGUGUUUUAUAUGCCUGAUAAAACUGAAAUAUUAAUUAUGAUUAUAAAAGCUAUCUGCUCUGUAUUGAGUUUGUUCAAAAUAAGUUAGACCCUUGUUGAGAGAUUUAUCAUGCUCCCAAGAUCAAGACAUUAUUUCAGAAAGAUUCACUCUUCCGAAGUAUUAUUGCAUUAGAGGCAUGGGCUAUGCAAAAAUAGAAGAUAUUUCGAGGAAAUAAAAAGGAGCAAGUGCUCGACAACCUCGCAGAAAAAUUGGACAAGUGUCCGGCAGUAGAAUUAGGGGUACCUCGGUAUCCACUUAAAAAAAAGAGAGAAAAAAUGAUAGCCCAUGGUCCCACUAAUAAGCAAUAUGCCAGCAAGAGUUGACAAAGUUUUUAAAGUCUUUGAUCUAAGAGUAUGACAUUCCCCUCCUCGGAUCCCGUUUUGAUCAGGCAAUAAAUGCAAAGUGAGUAUGCUUAAGAAUUUUUGCAAAAUAAAACAACCUCAGUGAGAUAUAUAUACAAAAGAUAAUGAGUGAUCUGAGAGAACCUAUGAGGAUAAAAAGGUAUGCUAACUUUCUUUUAAAAAUAUACAAAAACUCCAAGUGACAGGAUUGAGAAGAAAGGAUCUUUACUCUUAAUCAUAUACU
Molecule: long non-coding RNA, 970 nt
Filed under: Sorghum bicolor (sorghum)
Lineage: Eukaryota; Viridiplantae; Streptophyta; Magnoliopsida; Poales; Poaceae
Description: long non-coding RNA (SBIC_LNC005271)
Source: RNAcentral